Molecule: long non-coding RNA, 685 nt
Organism: Carassius auratus (goldfish)
Lineage: Eukaryota; Metazoa; Chordata; Actinopteri; Cypriniformes; Cyprinidae
Exons: 3
Source: RefSeq, a predicted model, not a curated record
CAAAGAGCAUUUGGAUUCCCAGCGACUUUUUGAAUGCAGGAUACCAGGCGACUUUUCAUGAGUGAGUUAUUGAACCGUUCAUAAACCAAUACUUUUAAAACCGCUCAUUCAGAAUGAAGUAAACAAGUUUUGGACUUUGAGCGCCACCAUUUCAAAGUUCAACCGACGAGCAAGAUGGUGCCAGCUUAACCGGCGAAAGGAUACUACUCCAAAAAUAUAGUUUUUUUUUUUUUUUUUUUCUGCUUCACAAAUGUAUUAUUUACUUGACAUGAAAAAGGAGAGAUAACAGACGCAGCUCCUAUGAGGAUGGAGAUCUGAAGUGUGUCGCCCUUGAGCCAGAGCAGAGGUAGACGAGCAAGUGACACAACACUCAGCUUCGUCCUGAUAAGAGAGAUCAGCAUCUCUUCAUACUGUAUGUAAAGCCAUAUGUGGUUGCUUCAUACUCCACACCCGAGAUGACAGCUGAAUGAAAUGUUUAAUACAUUUCAAAAGCGGAUAUUCAACAGAGACUUCCUUGCCUGUCCAUCACCAAAGCCCUGUGGUUUCUGAGAACUGUCUCCAUCAUCUCCUCAUUCUACUGGAUUUGUCUGCAGCACAGUAAGUCACCAGAUCAUCUGUUAUAUGAUAAGUCCCAGUGAUCCCAUUAUACUGAGAAAAGGACGGGGCCCGGCACCGAACCCUGAGG